UUGAGUAGUAUUAGUUAUGUUCUUGAAACUUAAAAAAUUUGGCGGUAUUUUAGUCUAUUCAGAGGAACCUGUUCUAUAAUCGAUAUUCCACGAUGGACCUUACUUAAAUUUGUUUUCAGUUUAUAUACCGUCGUUAUCAGAAUAUUUUAUAAGAAUAAUAAUUUUCUAUAAUUUUAAUUGGAAUUUAUAUCAGAUCAAGGUGUAGCUUAUGUUUAAGUAGAAAUGGGUUACAAUAAAUAUAUUUAUAUGAAUAUAAAUAUGAAAACUUUAUUGAAAUUGGAUUUGACAGUAAAAUUAUAUAGAUAAAUAAUUUGAUUUUAGCUCUAAAAUAUGCACACAUCGCCCGUCGCUCUUAUUAUUAAGAUAAGAUAAGUCGUAACAUAGUAGAUGUACCGGAAGGUGCCUCUAGAAUGACAAUUUAAAGCUUAUUUAGUAAAGCAUUUCAUUUACAUUGAAAAUAUUUUUGUGCAAAUCAAUAUAAAUUGAAUAAAAUUUAUUUAUUAAUAAUGUUUUUUUUUUAUUUAAUUUAUUAAAAAUAAUUAUAAAAUUGGUUGUUUUAGUAUUGUAUAAAGAAUAAAUAAUUUUAAUAAUAGUUAAUUAGUAUUGUGAAAGAUUAUUGAAAUAAUUUGAAAA
This 633-nucleotide ribosomal RNA is filed under the name Pherbellia schoenherri. Its description in RNAcentral is "partial 12S ribosomal RNA". The stretch from base 415 to 486 matches the Rfam family "tRNA". The record is from RNAcentral. Lineage: Eukaryota; Metazoa; Arthropoda; Insecta; Diptera; Sciomyzidae.